Paramuricea clavata is the source of this 309-nucleotide non-coding RNA. The record is from the annotation of a GenBank genome assembly. Lineage: Eukaryota; Metazoa; Cnidaria; Anthozoa; Malacalcyonacea; Plexauridae.
GGCCAACUAUGAACAAGUUGUCAACCAUGUUGUUCCAAAUUGUUACAGGUGAACAAUGCUGUAACAACAUGUUGACAAUACUGUUCAUAGUGUCGAUAUCAACUUGCAACAAGUUGUUGAUUUUCUCAAUUUUUACGCGUGUAGGCAAGUAAAAAUUGAGAAAAUCAACAACUUGUUGCAAGUUGAUAUCGACAGGCGUGAACAAGGUUGUGCGGCCCACUAUGAACAGUACUGUCAACAUGUUGUUACAGCAUUGUUCAACUGUAACAACUUAGAACAACAUGGUUGACAACUUGUUCACAGUGGGCC